This 476-nucleotide ribosomal RNA is filed under the name uncultured bacterium. RNAcentral describes it as "bacterial SSU rRNA". It matches the Rfam family "Bacterial small subunit ribosomal RNA", at positions 23 to 507 of the family's 1533-position model. The record is from RNAcentral.
CUCAGGACGAACGCUGGCGGCGUGCCUAACACAUGCAAGUCGAGCGGGGACAUGGAGGAGCUUGCUCCGAAGUGUUCUAGCGGCGGACGGGUGAGUAACGCGUGAGCAAUCUGUCCUGUACAGGGGGAUAACAGAUGGAAACAUCUGCUAAUACCGCAUGAGACCACAGCUUCGCAUGGAGCAGGGGUCAAAGGAGAAAUCCGGUACAGGGUGAGCUCGCGUCUGAUUAGAUAGUUGGUGAGGUAACGGCUCACCAAGUCUACGAUCAGUAGCCGGACUGAGAGGUUGGACGGCCACAUUGGAACUGAGAUACGGUCCAGACUCCUACGGGAGGCAGCAGUGGGGAAUAUUGGGCAAUGGGCGAAAGCCUGACCCAGCAACGCCGCGUGAAGGAAGAAGGUCUUCGGAUUGUAAACUUCUUUUAUAAGGGAAGAACUAUGACUGUACCUUAUGAAUAAGCCACGGCUAACUACGUG